RNAcentral lists this ribosomal RNA (727 nucleotides) under Salmonella enterica subsp. enterica serovar Kentucky. RNAcentral's name for it is "partial 23S ribosomal RNA". It matches the Rfam family "Bacterial large subunit ribosomal RNA", at positions 1031 to 1757 of the family's 2925-position model. Lineage: Bacteria; Pseudomonadati; Pseudomonadota; Gammaproteobacteria; Enterobacterales; Enterobacteriaceae. The record is from RNAcentral.
ACCGCCAGCUAAGGUCCCAAAGUCAUGGUUAAGUGGGAAACGAUGUGGGAAGGCCCAGACAGCCAGGAUGUUGGCUUAGAAGCAGCCAUCAUUUAAAGAAAGCGUAAUAGCUCACUGGUCGAGUCGGCCUGCGCGGAAGAUGUAACGGGGCUAAACCAUGCACCGAAGCUGCGGCAGCGACGCUGAUGCGUUGUUGGGUAGGGGAGCGUUCUGUAAGCCUGUGAAGGUGGCCUGUGAGGGUUGCUGGAGGUAUCAGAAGUGCGAAUGCUGACAUAAGUAACGAUAAAGCGGGUGAAAAGCCCGCUCGCCGGAAGACCAAGGGUUCCUGUCCAACGUUAAUCGGGGCAGGGUGAGUCGACCCCUAAGGCGAGGCCGAAAGGCGUAGUCGAUGGGAAACGGGUUAAUAUUCCCGUACUUGGUGUUACUGCGAAGGGGGGACGGAGAAGGCUAUGUUGGCCGGGCGACGGUUGUCCCGGUUUAAGCGUGUAGGUGUGUGUUCCAGGUAAAUCCGGUUCACUUUAACACUGAGGCGUGAUGACGAGGCACUACGGUGCUGAAGCAACAAAUGCCCUGCUUCCAGGAAAAGCCUCUAAGCAUCAGGUAACAUCAAAUCGUACCCCAAACCGACACAGGUGGUCAGGUAGAGAAUACCAAGGCGCUUGAGAGAACUCGGGUGAAGGAACUAGGCAAAAUGGUGCCGUAACUUCGGGAGAAGGCACGCUGACAC